RNAcentral lists this ribosomal RNA (253 nucleotides) under uncultured bacterium. Its description in RNAcentral is "partial 16S ribosomal RNA". It matches the Rfam family "Bacterial small subunit ribosomal RNA", at positions 524 to 776 of the family's 1533-position model. The record is from RNAcentral.
UACAGAGGUCCCGAGCGUUGUUCGGAUUCAUUGGGCGUAAAGGGUGCGUAGGCGGCGGGGCAAGUCUGAUGUGAAAUCCCGGGGCUCAACCCCGGAACUGCAUUGGAUACUGCCUUGCUAGAGUACUGGAGAGGGAACUGGAAUUUACGGUGUAGCAGUGAAAUGCGUAGAUAUCUGGAGGAACACCGGUGGCGAAAGCGGCUCUCUGGACCACAACUGACGCUGAGGCGCGAAAGCUAGGGGAGCAAACAGG